UAGCUAGUUGGUAAGGUAACGGCUUACCAAGGCGACGAUGCGUAGCCGACCUGAGAGGGUGAUCGGCCACACUGGAACUGAGACACGGUCCAGACUCCUACGGGAGGCAGCAGUAGGGAAUCUUCCGCAAUGGGCGAAAGCCUGACGGAGCAACGCCGCGUGUGCGAAGAAGGUCUUCGGAUCGUAAAGCACUGUUGUUAAGGAAGAACGACAGUAAGAGUAACUGCUUACUGUGUGACGGUACUUAACCAGAAAGCCACGGCUAACUACGUGCCAGCAGCCGCGGUAAUACGUAGGUGGCAAGCGUUAUCCGGAAUUAUUGGGCGUAAAGCGCGCGUAGGCGGCGAGAUUAGUCUGAUGUGAAAGCCCCCGGCUCAACCGGGGAAGGUCAUUGGAAACUGUUUCGCUUGAGUGCAGAAGAGGAGAGUGGAAUUCCAUGUGUAGCGGUGAAAUGCGCAGAGAUAUGGAGGAACACCAGUGGCGAAGGCGGCUCUCUGGUCUGCAACUGACGCUGAUGUGCGAAAGCGUGGGGAUCAAACAGGAUUAGAUACCCUGGUAGUCCACGCCGUAAACGAUGAGUGCUAAGUGUUAGGGGGUUUCCGCCCCUUAGUGCUGCAGCAAACGCA
Molecule: ribosomal RNA, 626 nt
Filed under: uncultured bacterium
Lineage: Bacteria
Description: bacterial SSU rRNA
Rfam family: Bacterial small subunit ribosomal RNA
Source: RNAcentral